Molecule: transfer RNA, 72 nt
Filed under: Phrynosoma platyrhinos (Desert horned lizard)
Lineage: Eukaryota; Metazoa; Chordata; Lepidosauria; Squamata; Phrynosomatidae
Description: tRNA-OTHER
Source: RNAcentral
GCCCGUAUACUGUAGUGGUUUGAGCAUUGGACUAUGACUCUAGAGUCCAGGGUUCAAAUCCAUGCUCAGCCC